This 253-nucleotide ribosomal RNA is filed under the name uncultured bacterium. RNAcentral's name for it is "partial 16S ribosomal RNA". It matches the Rfam family "Bacterial small subunit ribosomal RNA", at positions 524 to 776 of the family's 1533-position model. The record is from RNAcentral.
UACGUAGGGCGCAAGCGUUGUCCGGAAUUAUUGGGCGUAAAGAGCUCGUAGGCGGCUUGUCACGUCGGGCGUGAAAGCCCGGGGCUUAACCCCGGGACUGCAUCCGAUACGGGCAGGCUAGAGUGUGGUAGGGGAGACUGGAAUUCCUGGUGUAGCGGUGAAAUGCGCAGAUAUCAGGAGGAACACCGGUGGCGAAGGCGGGUCUCUGGGCCGAAACUGACGCUGAGGAGCGAAAGCGUGGGGAGCGAACAGG